This 267-nucleotide ribosomal RNA is filed under the name Triticum aestivum (bread wheat). Its description in RNAcentral is "partial small subunit ribosomal RNA". Lineage: Eukaryota; Viridiplantae; Streptophyta; Magnoliopsida; Poales; Poaceae. The record is from RNAcentral.
AUGGUUAAAGAAGAAAAAGAAGAAAACAGGGGUUCUGUUGAAUUUCAAGUAUUCAGUUUCACCAAUAAGAUACGGAGACUUGCUUCACAUUUGGAAUUACACAAAAAAGAUUUUUCAUCGGAAAGAGGUCUUCUUCUCUUCUAUUCCUUUCUUCUUCUCCUCUUCUUUUUCUUCUUUUUUCCUCUUCUUAUUUAUUUCUCCUCUUCUUCCUCUCCUCUUCUUCUCCUUUCUUCCUCUUCUUAUUUUCCUUUUUCCUCUCAUUCGUAA